RNAcentral lists this ribosomal RNA (331 nucleotides) under uncultured bacterium. RNAcentral's name for it is "bacterial SSU rRNA". It matches the Rfam family "Bacterial small subunit ribosomal RNA", at positions 568 to 898 of the family's 1533-position model. The record is from RNAcentral.
CACGUAGAUGGCUUUGUAAGUCGGAUGUGAAAUCCCCGGGCUCAACCUGGGAACUGCAUUCGAAACUGCAUUGCUCGAAUGUGGAAGAGGGAAGCGGAAUUCCAGGUGUAGCGGUGAAAUGCGUAGAUAUCCGGAGGAACAUCAGUGGCGAAGGCGGCUUCCUGGUCCAACAUUGACAUUCAGGUGCGAAAGCGUGGGGAGCAAACAGGAUUAGAUACCCUGGUAGUCCACGCCAUAAACGAUGAGAACUAGAUGUCGGGAGGGUUAGCCUUCCGGUGUCGCAGCUAACGCGUUAAGUUCUCCGCCUGGGGAGUACGGCCGCAAGGUUGAA